This 94-nucleotide ribosomal RNA is filed under the name uncultured bacterium. RNAcentral's name for it is "partial 16S ribosomal RNA". It matches the Rfam family "Bacterial small subunit ribosomal RNA", at positions 1379 to 1482 of the family's 1533-position model. The record is from RNAcentral.
CCUUGUACACACCGCCCGUCAAGUCAUGGGAGCCGGGAACGGCCGAAGUCGCCCCACCUCAGGGGUGCCUACGCCGGGCUCGGUGACUGGGACU